RNAcentral lists this ribosomal RNA (1526 nucleotides) under Serratia rubidaea. Its description in RNAcentral is "bacterial SSU rRNA". It matches the Rfam family "Bacterial small subunit ribosomal RNA". The record is from RNAcentral. Lineage: Bacteria; Pseudomonadati; Pseudomonadota; Gammaproteobacteria; Enterobacterales; Yersiniaceae.
AGAGUUUGAUCAUGGCUCAGAUUGAACGCUGGCGGCAGGCCUAACACAUGCAAGUCGAGCGGCAGCGGGAGGAAGCUUGCUUCCUCGCCGGCGAGCGGCGGACGGGUGAGUAAUGUCUGGGGAUCUGCCCGAUGGAGGGGGAUAACCACUGGAAACGGUGGCUAAUACCGCAUAACGUCGCAAGACCAAAGUGGGGGACCUUCGGGCCUCACACCAUCGGAUGAACCCAGAUGGGAUUAGCUAGUAGGUGGGGUAAUGGCUCACCUAGGCGACGAUCCCUAGCUGGUCUGAGAGGAUGACCAGCCACACUGGAACUGAGACACGGUCCAGACUCCUACGGGAGGCAGCAGUGGGGAAUAUUGCACAAUGGGCGCAAGCCUGAUGCAGCCAUGCCGCGUGUGUGAAGAAGGCCUUCGGGUUGUAAAGCACUUUCAGCGAGGAGGAAGGUGGUGAGCUUAAUACGUUCAUCAAUUGACGUUACUCGCAGAAGAAGCACCGGCUAACUCCGUGCCAGCAGCCGCGGUAAUACGGAGGGUGCAAGCGUUAAUCGGAAUUACUGGGCGUAAAGCGCACGCAGGCGGUUUGUUAAGUCAGAUGUGAAAUCCCCGAGCUUAACUUGGGAACUGCAUUUGAAACUGGCAAGCUAGAGUCUCGUAGAGGGGGGUAGAAUUCCAGGUGUAGCGGUGAAAUGCGUAGAGAUCUGGAGGAAUACCGGUGGCGAAGGCGGCCCCUGGACGAAGACUGACGCUCAGGUGCGAAAGCGUGGGGAGCAAACAGGAUUAGAUACCCUGGUAGUCCACGCCGUAAACGAUGUCGAUUUGGAGGUUGUGCCCUUGAGGCGUGGCUUCCGGAGCUAACGCGUUAAAUCGACCGCCUGGGAGUACGGCCGCAAGGUUAAAACUCAAAUGAAUUGACGGGGCCCGCACAAGCGGUGGAGCAUGUGGUUUAAUUCGAUGCAACGCGAAGAACCUUACCUACUCUUGACAUCCAGAGAACUUUCCAGAGAUGGAUUGGUGCCUUCGGGAACUCUGAGACAGGUGCUGCAUGGCUGUCGUCAGCUCGUGUUGUGAAAUGUUGGGUUAAGUCCCGCAACGAGCGCAACCCUUAUCCUUUGUUGCCAGCGGUUAGGCCGGGAACUCAAAGGAGACUGCCAGUGAUAAACUGGAGGAAGGUGGGGAUGACGUCAAGUCAUCAUGGCCCUUACGAGUAGGGCUACACACGUGCUACAAUGGCGUAUACAAAGAGAAGCGAACCUGCGAAGGCAAGCGGACCUCAUAAAGUACGUCGUAGUCCGGAUUGGAGUCUGCAACUCGACUCCAUGAAGUCGGAAUCGCUAGUAAUCGUAGAUCAGAAUGCUACGGUGAAUACGUUCCCGGGCCUUGUACACACCGCCCGUCACACCAUGGGAGUGGGUUGCAAAAGAAGUAGGUAGCUUAACCUUCGGGAGGGCGCUUACCACUUUGUGAUUCAUGACUGGGGUGAAGUCGUAACAAGGUAACCGUAGGGAACCUGCGGUUGGAUCACCU